This 4792-nucleotide long non-coding RNA is filed under the name Brassica napus (rape). Its description in RNAcentral is "long non-coding RNA (BNAP_LNC014684)". Lineage: Eukaryota; Viridiplantae; Streptophyta; Magnoliopsida; Brassicales; Brassicaceae. The record is from RNAcentral.
CCUUGCUUAGGCGUUUGCAUGGUAGCCAUCGGCACUACACUCUAUGUCUUUGGUGGCCGCGACGGCUUCCGUAAUUACAAUGGCUUCUACUCUUACGACACGGUUAAAAGCGAGUGGAAACUCAUAACUCACGUCAACAAUGGACCUGCACCGCGUAGCUUCCACUCUAUGGCUGCUGAUUGCAAUAAUAUUUAUAUCUUUGGUGGAGUGACUACUAAGGAACGUGUCAACACACUUCAUGCUUACAACAUCGUUGAUAAAAAGUGGACUGAGCUUCCGAAUCCAGGAGAGUCUUGCAAAGGGAGAGGUGGAGCGGGGCUUGCGGUUGUGCAAGGGAAGAUUUGGGUUGUUUAUGGGUUUAUUGGGGAAGAAGUCGAAGAUGUUCAUUGCUUUGAUCCAGUUGAAAGUAAGUGGACUAAAGUGGAAACAAGAGGUGAAAAGCCGUGGGGUAAGUUUUCCUUAAGUAUACGACUAAAAACAUUAAAAUGACAUGUAUCAAUUCGAUGGUUGAUUUGAAAGCUUUCAAAACCAUAUGGAAGAUAAAAGUCAAAAUAAUUCAAAUGUGAAAACAAUACUGUUCACUUUUUUCAAGAAUGUGUUCGAUAGAAAAAAAUAAGGUUUUUAUGUCAUAAUUUGUUUAAUGUCCAAUACGAUCAACCCAUGAUGUAUUAAUUAUAGUUUUAUUCCAUUAUUUUUAAUAAAAAAUGAUCCGAUCCAUCGGAAAAAAAUAUAUAAUAACAACAAAAAAUAUUUUAUGUAUACAAAUAAAAUGAUCAAAUAUAUAAAAAAACUAUCGAUAAUAUAUACAAAUAAACUCACCCUGCGCAAAACGCAGGUCUUAUCCUAGUGAAAUAUUAAAAAGCAACAAUAAUUAAUGUCAGAAUAAAAAGGGAGAAAUGUGAGCAUAGUGUGUAUAACGUGUGGGAUGAUAUAUUUUUUUUUUGGUUUAAAUGUGUACGUGAGAAAGUAUAAGCAAAAGUAAAGAAGUAAAAUUUACAUGAAGUGUAUAAAUAGAGAUUAGCACCUCUAAUAAUACCAUAUCACGCUCACUCAUACCUCGAACCCUAAGAGUAACACAAACCCUCAAGAGUCAGGUCUCUCCCUCUCCCUCUAUCUCUCUAUAUGUUACUACAAGUUUCCUGAUUUUCCUGUUUUAACUACAAUCAUGUCAAAGACUCAAAGGAAACAGAAACACUAACUCAGCGGAGACAUUUUCUUCCUUUUUUUCUUUAGUGAUAUAUAUAAAAACAGAGUUUGUGUUAUUCUUAGUUUGUUUUGAAAGAAGAAUUUCGCUGCUUUUCCAGGUUUUCGUUGAAGUUAGAAGAUGAACACAACGUUUGAAAAAGUGGGAGCAGUGGGUGGUAACAAAGGCGGACCAUUUGACGAUGGUGUUUUCGAUGGUGUGAAGAAAAUAACUGUCGGAAAAGACUGGGACUGUGUUUCUUAUAUCAAAAUUGAGUACGAGAAGGAGAAGGACGGAAAAUUUGAAACCCGUGAACAUGGGACCAUUCGUGGAGAACUUCAAGAGGUUAUAGAUCCUGACUUUGUUAUUCUUCAAUAUGUUCUUAUUAUACCUUUAUCGCAAUUUACAUUUGUUGUUUCUAAUGGAAAAUGAAAUCUAGUUCACGGUGGAUUAUCCGAACGAAUAUAUCACAUCUGUUGGUGGAAGCUACGAACACGUUUUAAGCUAUGGAACAGUGCUGAUCAAAUCUUUACGCUUCAAAACCUCAUAUGGAAGGACCUCUCCGAUACUCGGUCGUACGACCUUAUUUCGAAACCCAGCUGGGAGAGAAUUCAUGCUCGAGGGUAAAAAUGGUGGAAAGCUUCUAGGUUUCCAUGGACGUUCUGGUCAAGCUCUUGAUGCCAUUGGAGCUCACUUCUUCGCUGUGAAGUCUCCUCUUAAGCACUUUAACCUUCAAGGUGGGAAUGGAGGGAGUGCUUGGGAUGAUGGCGCUUUCGACGGUGUUAGAAAAAUACUCGUUGGACGAGGUGGUAAAUUUGUGAGUUAUGUGAGGUUUGAGUAUGCAAAAGGCCGAGGAAUGGUGCCACAUGCUCAUGGGAAGAGACAAGAAGUUCCCCAAGAGGUAUUAAUUGUUGACAUAAAAUAUAUGUAGUUUUGUGCUUGUUGAAUUUUUUUAAAAAAUGUUGCAGUUCGUGGUGGAUUACCCUAAUGAGCAUAUUACGGUAGUGGAGGGAACCAUCGAUGGCUACCUUACAUCGCUAAGGUUUAAGACAUCAAAAGGAAGAACCUCCCCUGCUUUUGGCAAUGUGGUUGGUAGGAAAUUUGUGCUUGGGGAAAAAGAUUUCAAGCUUGUCGGGUUUUGUGGUCGGUCCGGUGAUGCUAUUGAUGCUCUUGGUGCACAUUUUGCGCCUCUUCCACCUCCACCUCCAGCUCCAGCUCCUACUCCGGAUCCCUCUACCACAAAGAUGGGACCGCUAGGUGGUGACAAGGGAAAAACGUUUGACGAUGGUGUUUUGAAUGGUGUGAAGAAAGUAACCAUUGGAGCAGAUGAAUACAGUAUAACUUAUAUCAAGAUCGAAUAUGAAAAUAAUGGAAAAGUUGAAACCCGUGAACACGGGACUAAUCGCGGGGAGCUAAAAGAGGUACAAUAUUUGUAAAACAUAUUUUUAAAAUAUUUUUGUUAACAUAUUCAGUUGGUUCACUAUUAAUUGGUGGUUUCUAUUUUCAUAUGAAAUACAGUUUUCGGUGGCUUAUCCGAAUGAAUAUAUCACAGCCGUUGGUGGAAGCUACAAGCAUAUUUUCAACUACGAUACAACCCUUGUUAAAUCACUAUACUUUACAACUUCCAAAGGAUCUACCUCUCCAUUAUUCGGUGAGCUAAAGGGAACAGAAUUUGAGUUCAAAGAUGAAAAUGGAGGAAAUCUUGUUGGAUUCCAUGGACGUGGUGGUUAUGCUAUUGAUGCCAUUGGUGUACAUUUUGGUCCAGCUCCAAAAUCUUCUACACCGACUCCUCCCAACAAGUUUUCCAAGGUCUACAUUACAUCUGGAAAUGAAGGAAUUGAGGAAAUCAAGUUUUAUAAUGUAGAAAACGGAGAGACAAAGGAAGUGUUUCUUCAUGGUGUGAAGGGUAAAAAUCUCAUUUCAACGGUGCGUUUAUUACAUUUUUACACUCUGGGAUAAAAGUUUAUUUAUGCAUUAAUUAAUCAUAUUUUGAUCUGAGUUUUGCAUGUAAUUUCUCCAGCUUGUUAUUAGCAAUCCUCCUGAUGAGUGUCUCGUUUCUGUCGAGAGUUGGUACAAUUCUUACGAUGUUUCUCAAGGAAUUCAGUUUAAAACUGAAAAGAGCGGUUCCGAUUUCUUUGGAUAUAAGUUUUCUGAGGAUGUUGGUAAACCAUUUUCUCUCCAAGUCAAGGAUAAGAAGAUCAUCGGCGUUCAGAAGUUCCAUGACUCGAAUCUCAUAUCUCCUGGAACGUACUUUGUACUAUCCCGUUCCUCUUCUCCCAACAAAGUGGAAGCUAUAGGAGGAAAGGGUGGAGAAACAUUUGACGAUGGUGCUUUUGAUCAUGUAAGAAAAGUUUUUGUUGCUAAAGGCGAUUCCGGUAUAGCUUAUGUCAAGUUCGAAUACGAAAAAGACGGCAGAAUAGUGACACAGGAGCACGGACAAAAGACAUCUCAAGAAACGGAGGUGUUCGAGGUAGGUCAAGACGAUGACAUCACAUCUGUGAAAGCUUACUACGAAAAACUCGAUGCCUCGAAGACAGAAACUAUAACGUAUCUUGCAUUCAAGACUCUGAAGGGAGUAAACUCUCAGCCGUUUGGAAAGACCCCUGUUAUUGUAAAUGAGCAAACAAAAUUGUCUUUGCUUGAAGGUGGCAAAAUCACUGGUUUUCAUGGAAGCUCGACGGACGUUCUUCAUUCUAUCGGAGCUUAUAUUUCGACUUCUCCUCCGACGAUGUUGCAUGGCAAGUGGAUCCAGGUACGUACGUAGUAUGGAUGGUUAUACGGAUCGGUAUGGUUAGACAUAUUCAAUUUUUUCGAUCAUUCGGUUAAUUAGGAGAUUUCAUAUUUCAGUAGAAAUCAAUCAGUUCGUCUUUGAUUUUUUGAAACAUAAAAGUAAAUAUUAUUUUGUUACAAAAUAUAAUAGUAUGCAAAUUUGUUGUAUUAUAUCAAGUUUUCUUAUAGGUACUGGUUCAAAAUUCAAAAUUCUCGAAUAGAUUAUAUAUGGUUCGAUUCAUAUAUUCUUUAAUUAGCGACCUAGUGCGUACGUAGUAAUACUUCUCGUGAAAAAAAGAUUAUUGUUUCAUGUGUAACCGUGACAUUAAUUGUGUUAAGAAACAUUUGGUGACUAUCAUUACUAGGUGGAACAAAAUGGAAAGACUCCUGGACCAAGAUGUUCACAUGCUAUAGCAAUGGUUGGAAACAAAAUGUACUCUUUCGGGGGAGAGUUAAAGCCGAAUUUUCACAUCGAUCGAGACCUCUACUUCUUCGAUUUGGAGACUCGCAGAUGGUCGCUUGCUGAUCCAGACGGUGAUGUUCCUGAGCUCCCUUGCUUAGGCGUUUGCAUGGUAGCCAUCGGCACUACACUCUAUGUCUUUGGUGGCCGCGACGGCCUCCGUAAUUACAAUGGCUUCUACUCUUACGACACGGUUAAAAGCGAGUGGAAACUCAUAACUCACGUCAACAAUGGACCUGCACCGCGUAGCUUCCACUCUAUGGCUGCUGAUUGCAAUAAUAUUUAUAUCUUUGGUGGAGUGACUACUAAGGAACGUGUCAACACACUUCAUGCUUACAACAUCGUUGAUAAAAAGUGGACUGAGCUUCCGAAUCCAGGAG